CUGCAGCCAAUGAAGCCGACCGUGCUGGCCUCCCCAUGGCGCCCGAUGUGCAGUGGCUGCAAAUAGCAGCCCCCUGGGUAGUGUGUGCAGCUUGCUGCUUGUGUAGCUGCCCUGAGGAGCCCUGGAGACGCCC
This is a non-coding RNA of Erinaceus europaeus (western European hedgehog), 133 nucleotides long. NCBI's taxonomy places the organism in Eukaryota, Metazoa, Chordata, Mammalia, Eulipotyphla, Erinaceidae. The record is from Rfam.